UUUUGAAUUCUUGAUUUUGAUGGGUACUAUUCACAGAAAACGAAGCGGAAGCAGAAGAAUCUCUACUAUCUUGGGCAAGUUUGGGCAAGAUCCUCUGCCAUUACCAAUUCUGAUUCUUGUAACGCUGGCCAUGAUGAUCUUUCUAGUCACCGCCCCUCGGAUUUUCUCUGUUGAGUUGAGCAUUGUAAAACCCACAGAAGUCAAAACCCAUUUGGUGCUUCUG
This 223-nucleotide long non-coding RNA is filed under the name Citrus sinensis (sweet orange). Its description in RNAcentral is "long non-coding RNA (CSIN_LNC005089)". Lineage: Eukaryota; Viridiplantae; Streptophyta; Magnoliopsida; Sapindales; Rutaceae. The record is from RNAcentral.